GGGGAUGUAGCUCUAAUGGUAGAGCACUUGCUUUGCAUGCAAGAGGCAGGGGGUUCGAUCCCCGCAUCUCCA
Nicotiana sylvestris (wood tobacco) is the source of this 72-nucleotide non-coding RNA. NCBI's taxonomy places the organism in Eukaryota, Viridiplantae, Streptophyta, Magnoliopsida, Solanales, Solanaceae. The record is from Rfam.